UACGGAGGGUGCGAGCGUUGUCCGGAAUCACUGGGCGUAAAGGGCGCGUAGGCGGCCUGAUAAGUAGGGGGUGAAAUCCUGCGGCUUAACCGCAGGGCUGCCUUCUAAACUGUCAGGCUCGAGCACAGUAGAGGCAGGUGGAAUUCCCGGUGUAGCGGUGGAAUGCGUAGAGAUCGGGAGGAACACCUAUAGCGAAGGCAGCUUGCUGGGACGUUACUGACGCUAAGGCGCGAAAGCGUGGGGAGCGAACAGG
Molecule: ribosomal RNA, 253 nt
Filed under: uncultured bacterium
Lineage: Bacteria
Description: partial 16S ribosomal RNA
Rfam family: Bacterial small subunit ribosomal RNA
Source: RNAcentral